UGCAUUCGGCAAAAUAAACAAUUUUAGCAUCAUGAACAAGAAAUAUAUAAGCUAUUAACUAGGUCUGCCGGGCUCUUAGAAUAGUUCCAAGCUCCAACCUGAUAAAGCAACCAUGUCCCGAGCACUUAGGCCUUUGCUUCGGAAGCGAGAUAUAAGUCUGUCAAGGCCAUCUCUAAAACUAGGAAGGUCCCUGUUGGCUAGGGUUCUACUUGCAGUCUUUGAAUCCCUUCUUCCAAGCCUUACAGUCCAGGAUGGACCACCGACCUGAUUCGUACAAAAACAAGUAUAUUUAUUUACAUGAUUGAUAUUAACAUUUUAAUUAGCUUGAUUCACUAGAUUCGAAUGUCGAAAUUGGCAUCUCAAAGAACACAUAUUUAUACUUACAUAGGCAGAUGCAUCUCUUGCUGCAACAGCAAGGAUAUCAGCGCAGGAAACAACUCCAGGACAUAUCUUCUCCACUGCAGAUUUCGCUGUGUCGAUGACUUCAUAACCUCUAGCAGAAUCCUUAUUGGGCAGUGCAGACUUCUCGCUCUGGAUAGAUGAAGUCUCAUCCAGUAAAAUGGAGGCAUCACAACCCUGCAAGACCCAGGAUUUAGUUCCCGACAUGAGAUUAAUAUAUACAAGCUUAGGACCGUAGCAAUUGAACGGGGAUACAAGGGGUACGUACCUGAACAAAGCAAUCAUGAAAAUGCAAGCGAAUGAGAGAUGCAGCCAUUCUACGUUCUCUUGCAAUAGCAGUUUUAAUGGAAGUUCUGAUAGUAGUGAGGGCCUUUGGACAUGUUUUGUCAUAAAACUUAGAGCUGAGUUGGGCCUGGCAUGCCGGGUUCAAAAGCAGCAACAUAAACAUGAUGGCUGCGGCUUUUGCUGGAGAUAGAAAGAAUUUGGAAGCUGAAGUUACCAUUUUCUAUGGUUUUUCUCUAUAUAGCGGGAGUAAAAGAAAUGUAUUAAUGGAAAGAGAUCAGAGGAUGAGGGUGUUUCCGAUACUGGAAAAUUAAGCAAGAUAAUUAAGAGUUGAGAUGGAGAAGAAAAAAAGGUGGCGAUGAACUUAUAUAGAGAUUAGAGAUCAAUAAAUUGCACGUGAGAAGCAGUCUUAUGCAGGCAGCCAGUAAGUGUUCCAAGUUUGAUGCCUCUAACUUGAUUCAGACUUGAAAUUUUCUUUAUUUCACAAAUUUGAUGUCAAAGGUUACUCAUAAAGUUGAAUAUGCAGUCCAGUGUAGGGGUGAUUUCAUAUCACUAAUUUAAUCUCUCAACUAUGUGAAAUAACCAUGCAUUUAGAAACAAUGUAAGGAUAAUUAAUAUAAAAUAUGUGCUUAUUUGAUUCACCUUUAAUAUCUCAAUAUUUAAUUGCUCAAGUAUUGAGUUAACAAUUUCUUAUAAACACUUUUCAAAUUUAUAAUUAUAAUUAAUGAAUGUUGAGUUAUCAAACACAUUUUAAUAAAUUGAAACCAUUUGUUUGAUAAUAAGUUGGGGAUCAAUGAUUGUGGCCCUCUAAUUACCACUGGCACUGACUGCUACUUAAUAGUAAUGUGAUAACUCAUCUUUGUCAAUUUGUUUUUCUUUUUCUUAGAAAAAGAAAUUCUGAUUUAUUUUCAUAUAACUUAAAAGGGACAUAUGUUUCCUUAAGACAUGUUGACAAUAGUUGGAUAAAGUUGAAAAAUCUGAUCCACAAUGGUCCUUACGUAAACUAAAAAACUUUCUGCUUGCACUCUAUUAGUAUUAUUUAUUUUCGUCUUCUUGUUAAUAAUUCUACAUAAUUAAUGCACGUGAUUAAAUAUUAGUCUUAACCUGGAGGUAUUAUAAUGUACCAAAAGAAAGAAUGAGUAAACUUAUUAUUUGUAUGAUAAUCAAUGCACUGAAUAAAUAAAAGAAAUUCAUCCACAAAUAACAAGUAACCUUAUUUAUAUUCGCUUAAUUCUUUUAGAAACAUCCAUCAAUUUUGGCGUUUAAUGUAUUCAGCAAAACUUUUGAUCGUAAAUUUAUAGUCAAAUGAGACAUCAACUUUUUUUGUUUAGAUAUUUUUAAAUAGUAAAUUCUAGCCAUAUUUUAUUUUAACCCAUUAAUAAAAUAAUAGUAACUUCUAAAACCUUUUAAAAAUAAAAUUGAUAACCUGUUAUUACAGAUUACCAAUUAAAAUGGAGUUUGCUAAAACAAUAUAUCAUAGUUUUUAAAAAAAUUAUACUCUUAAAAUAUAUAAAAAGUUAAUUUAAUUUAUAAAAAAUAUAAAAAUAAUUGUCAUUUUUCGUAAUUUAAUAAUAAAUUUUGCGAUUAUAAAAAAAUUUAAUAUUUUUCAUAAAUUUGUCAAUUUUUUAAUAAAACAUUAAAUUUUACAAAAGUUAUCAUUUUUUCAUAUAUCAUUCAUUUUUUUCAUAACUAGUUUCACCUAUGAAAAGCUAGUGUAAUUUGUGAAAAAAUAUGAAGAUAAUUGUCAUUUUUCGUAACUUAGUCAUAUAUUUUACGAUUAUAAAAAAUUUAAUAUUUUUCAUAAAUUUGCCAAUUUAUUUGUAAAUCAUUAAAUUUCACAAUAGUUAUCAUUUUUUCAUAAUAUCAUUAAUUUUUUCGCAACUAGUAGCACUUACUAAAAAUUAGUAUAAUUUGCGAAAAAAUAUGAAGAAGAUUAUCAUUUUUCAUAUUUAGGAAUAUAUUCGCGAUUACAAAAAAUUUAAUAUUCUACAUAAAUUUGUCAAUUUUUUGUAAAUCAUUGAAUUUCACAAAAGCUAAUCAUUUUUUUUGUAAUAUCAUUCAUUUUUCUGUUAAUUAAUAUCACUUAUGAAAAAUUAGUAUAAUUUAUGAAGAAAUAUGAAGAAGAUUGUCAUUUUUCGUAAUUUAUUAACAUAUUUCGCGACUACGAAAAAUUUAAUAUUUUUCAUAAAUUUAUCUAUUUUUUCCUAAAUCAUUAAAUUUCGUAAACGUAAUAAUUUUUUAUAGUAUCACUCGUUUUUUCUAAAUUAGUAACAUUAAAGAAAAAUUAGCAUUAUUGCUAAUUAGUGAAAAAUAUAAAGAGCAUUGUCAUUUUUUAUAAAAUAUUAAUUGUUUUCAUAAUUAAAAAUUAUAAAGAGUUCAAUAAGUUGUCAGUCAUCUUUACUUAUAAAAUUUAAAAGAUAAGAAUUAAGCUAAUUAAGAAUUAAUGGUGUUAUUUUGUUUUACCUUAGAAAGUACCAUCAAAAAUAUAAUAAUAACAAUAACAAACUGUUGAAAGCAGCAAGAAGAAAGGCAUAAAAAAGGGAGAAGUUCCAGACACUGUACAGGCAGAAAAGCAUGUGCAGGGUUACUCAUCACACACCUCAAGGAAAGGGAGCAACUAUCCCUGUCAAAGGGAAAGGUCACUUCAACCAUCCCUAAAUCAAAAAGGAACAUUAGACAUAGGUCUCAAGGCAGCCAUUGUAUAGAUUAGGCUACCGUUGCAACCUUGUGUAUAUAAACAAAAACAAUCAAACUGUAAUAAUUAGAAUUCAUAUACUCAGUAAAUAUACAAUUCAUCGUCUUAAAUUCAACAUGAUAUCAUAGUAGGUUUAACCUGUACUCAUCAUCUACCCAACAUUCUUAAGCCAUGUCUCAAAACAAUAAAUUAACCAACAUAACACUAAAAGGUAACUCAAACUAUUUUGAAUGGUCAAAAUUAGUGUAUAUCGGUCUCAGCGGCAGAAGAAAGCUGGGAUUCAUCACUAGAACCAAAUAAAAACCAAAACCAAAAAGGCCAGAUGCUCCAAUAGAGGAAGAGUUAGAAAAAAUGGAGGAAUGGCAAACGACAGACCAUUCGGUCAUGUCGAUGAUCACCAACACCAUGGAAACACAAAUUUCCUGAUUCUGCAUUCUAAUGGAGUCAUCAAAGGCCAUCUGGGAAAAAAUGAAGGGAUUAUACGACCACCAAUAGAACUUUGCCCACAUAUUCAAACUUAAACAAGAACUGUCACAAAUCACAUAGGGAACAAAAAGUUCUUCGGAAUAUGCAAUAGAAAUACUAACCAGAUGGGAGGAGUUGCAAAAUUACCUUCCCCCAUCAAAUAACUCAGAAGAAAAAAAAAAGAGCAGUGCAGGACCUCGUAUAUACCUACCUGAAAGGACUGGACUCAAGCUACGAAGGCUUGAGAUUGCAGAUCCUCUUGUCAAUAGAGCUCUCUAGAAUAGACGAUGUGAUAGCAAAUAUCAAGCGCGAAGAAAUAAGAAGGAGCACCAUGAACUCAGCCCUCGAUGUUACAGAUAGCCGAGCCUAUACCACUCGACGAGAGCAAGCCCGCCAGAGGGAAGGACCGAGCGCCAUCGAGCGAUGUGACCACUGCAAGAAGCAGGGCCAUCAUCGCGAUGGCUACUGGCAUCUCCACCCACAGCUAAGGCCGUCUCUGGGGUGGGAAAGCUCUAGAGGCGUGAAGAAAGGGGAAAGAGGCGAGGAGGAGAAAAGGUUCGGCGGACAAAGUGGAAAAUAAAAUCCUAAUGAGGGGAUAAAUAUGACAAGCAACGGGUCGGGGACAUAUAACGGGGUAGGGUUAAUUGGUAGUGGGUUGGGUGCUUAUAACGGGUCUGAAGGUUAUGAGCAAACUCGACUCGACUCCAUGACCCAACCCGGCUUUGCAACGACUCGACCCGACUCUAACCCAUCUGACCCGACCUGAUUUCAAACCGGAUCCAACAUUGACCCGACCCGACUCAGACCCAGACCCGACCCGACAGUCUCGCUCCAGCUAAAUGAAUUACUAUCUCAAAUCCAAGCGCUAGUUCAGCAUCAACAACCCAGUGGGUCAAGUUCGGUAUCUAAUUCAUUUAAUUUUGUACUACCAUAUUUAAAAACAUGUCAAAAUGAUUAGGAUAUUGAUUCCGGUGCCUCUGAUCACAUGAAAUGGGACAAAAUGAAAUUGUUAAAUUUCUAUCCUGCUAAAAAUCUUCAACAUAUGACAGUUGCCAACGGAAACAAAAUCCAAAUUCAAGGUAGUGGCACCACUACACUACUUAACAAAUCUCUAAAAAUGUCUUGUUCUUACCUAACUUCAAAUCCAAUUUAUUGUCAGUUGGUAAAAUAACUAAUGAUUUAAAUUGCAAUGUUAUUUUUUCACCAUCUUCAGUCAUGUUUCAAGAUCGAAUUACAGGGAAGACAAUUGGUAAAGGACAUUAUGACAAUGGACUAUACUAUCUCAAAGACUCCACCAUUCACUAUCUUGUGUCGACAAGACCAAUCGAUCAAGGCAAGCUAAUGCAUUUACGUUUUGGGCAUCCGUCCGACCUUGUCUUGAACAAACUGUUUUAUUAUAAUUUAAAUUCCAGUCAUUAUAAUAUUUGCAAAUUUUUCAAACACACUCGCCUUCCUUUUUCUCUAUCUUCUCGUGUGUGUAAAAAAAGAUUUGAAUUAAUUCACUCUGUAUUUGGGGAUCUGCACCUGUUACAUCUUAUAAUCAUUUUCGAUACUGUGUCACUUUUAUUGACGAUUAUAUUUGCACUACUUAGGUCUAUUUAUUGAAAGGGAAAAACGAGGUAUUACAUGCUUUCAAGAAUUUUUUAAACUUUAUUAAAAAUCAAUACAUCGAAAAAAAAAAUUCAUUCUGACAAUGGUACAGAAUACAUAAACCAAAAUUUUUCAGAAUUUCUUAAAAAGGAAGGCAUCCUUCAUCAAACUACUUGCAUCAAUACCCCAGAACAAAAUGGUGUCUCAAAAAGAAAAAACAAAUAACUUCUUGAAGUCACCCAUACACUACUCUUUCAAAAUAAUAUCCCCUCCACCUUAUGGUCUGAUACACUCCUCACUGCCACAUACCUUAUCAACCAGUUACCCAGUGCCAAAUUAAAAAAUCUCAGUCCUCUAGAAGUCCUCAAGGGAAGAAAAAUUAAGUUAGGACACAUUCGAGUCUUUGGCUGCACUACUUUUAUCCAUCUUAAAAGACUUAACAAAUUUGAUAAAAGCUCCGCCAAAACCUUAUUUUUAGGAUAUUCCGUAGGAGAAAAUGGGUAUAAAUGUUAUGAUCCCCUCACAUACAAAACUUAUGUUUCCAGGGAUGUAUCGUUUCUAGAACAUGAACCCUAUUACACGAAGAAUGACCAUCAUAGUGCUACUCCCAACCACACUUAUAGGCCACACACAUUUCUAUUUCUGCAUAACCCUGUUCGCUCUGAUAACAGCAGUCCCAAUCAGGACAAUCACCCAGAGGGGGAGCAACAUCUCAACUUAAAGACAAUACCUUCAAGGGGAGAGAAUAUCACAAGCAGCAAAGAAAUCGAACCUCCUCAGGAAGAAAUUGCCUUAAGAAGAUCCACUCGACCAACCAGGCCUCUCAUCAGGUUAGGGGAUUAUGUAACCCAUAAGGUAUCAUUUCCAAUUCAAUAAUUCAUUUCUUAUGAUUUAAUGUCACAUCAGUAUCAAGCCUAUCUGGGAAACAUCACGGCACACACAGAACCCGCAUCUUUCUAUGACGCAAACACUAACCCUAAGUGGUGCAAGGCUAUGAAAGAAGAGUUUUAUGCCCUAGAAAAGAAUAACACUUGAGAUAUUGUUCCCCUACCACCAAACAAAAAAACUGUAGGGUGUAAAUGAGUAUACAAAAUAAAAUUUAAUUGUGAUGGAUCAAUCGAGAGAUAUAAGGCCAGAUUAGUAGCCAAAGGGUUUACACAAACCUAUAGCGUUGACUACCAGAAAACCUUUGCACCGAUAGAAAAAAGGAAUAUUGUUUGCAUUUUAUUAUUUAUUGCUACUAACUCAGGAUCAAGUCUAUUCCAAAUGGACUUAAAAACGUAUUUCUCCAAGGGACUCUAGAAGAAGAAGUCUAUAUAACCCUUCCUCUAGGCCACAAGUUCACAUCAAACCCGUCUUUGGUAUGUAAACUAAAAAAGGCAAUCUAUGGCCUAAAGCAGUCUCCAAGAACAUGGUAUGCCAAGCUAAGCCUUUUCCUUCUAAAUAUCAAUUUCAAUAAAUGUACUUCGGAUUCCUCUAUGUUUAUAAGACACAACCACACAUGCACUAUCAUUAUUCUGGUAUACGUGGAUGAUAUCAUCAUAACCGGUAAUGAUAAUGAAGAAAUUGAAAAGGUUAAGCAAAAGUUAAAAAGGAAAUUUAAUAUCAAGGAUCUAGGUCAACUAUCAUACUUUCUUGGAAUAGAAAUAGCCAAAUCACAUAAAGGCUUGUUUCUAUCCCAAAGAAAGUAUGUACUCGACCUUUUAAAAGAAACUGGAAAACUAUGAGCUAAACUUACAAACACUCCAAUGGAAACUAAUGUCAAACUUAAGUUGGAUGAUGGUAAUCCAUUAGAUAACAUAGGACAUUAUCAAUGCUUAGUAGGAAAGUUGAUCUAUCUAACUAUCACUAGACUCGAUAUUUCCUACGCAAUAAGUAUGGUAAGUCAGUUUAUGCAUGCUUCUCGCACUAGUCAUCUAGAGGCCAUUGAUAGAAUACUUAGGUAUAUCAAGGGAACCCCAGGACAAGGAAUCUGGAUGAAUAAAAAUAACUUUAACACUAUAAUUAGCUACUCUGAUGCAGAUUGGGCAGGAGACAGUGAUAGAAAGUCAACAACAGGAUUCUGCACUUUCGUAGAAGGAAAUUUAGUAACAUGGAAAAAUAAAAAAUAAAGCGUAGUGGCAAGAUCAAGCGCAGAUGCAGAAUAUAGAGCCAUGGCAUCUACACCAAGUGAACUCACUUGGAUCAAGCAAGUUCUCCUCGACAUGAAAAUAGAAUGUAAAGGACCUAUGCAGAUGUACUGUGACAAUCAGGCAGCUCGACACAUUGCAUCUAACCCAGUGUUUCAUGAACGUACCAAACACAUCGAAGUCGAUUGUCACUUCAUCAAAGAAAAGGUACAAUCAGGUGAAAUCAAAACACCAUUUGUCAGAAGUCAUGAUCAGCUGGCCGACAUAUUUACGAAAGCUCUCAACAAAAACAAUCAUCAAGCCAUUCUCAACAAGAUGGGUUCCAUCAACCUCUACGAACCCACCUUGAGGGGGAGUGUUGAAAGCAGCACAAAGAAAGACAUAAAAAAGAGAGAAGUCUCAGACAUUGCACAGGCAGAAAAGCCUAUGCAGGGUUACUCAUCACAGACCUCCAUGAAAGAGAGCAACCAUCCCUGUCAAAGGGAAAUGUCACUUCAACCAUAUCUAAAUCAGAAAGGAACGUUGGACAUAGGUCUCAAGGCAGCCAUUGUAUAAAUUAGGCUACCGUUGCAACCUUGUCUAUAUAAACAAGAACAAUCAAACUGUAAUAAUUAGAAUUCAUAUACUCAGUAAAUAUACAAUUCAUCAUCUUAAAUUCAACACAAACCAAUUGGAUUAAAAUUUUCUUUUCUUGUAACGGCAACUUAUUUUCUCUUCAAUUAUUUUUGUUGAUGGUCGGAAUUUAUGACUUUAGGGAUAAAACCGAACCAACUAUUUUGGACAUAAGUUGGCAAUCUGCCGUGUGAGAGUUUUGCUCGUCCUACUCAUUGCCAUUCCUAAUUCCAUAAUUAAGCCUACAAAAACAUCAACGCUGAAAUUAAUUUGUUCGCAACAUCAAGUUGCAUUGUUAAUUAAUUUGAACCCUAAUUAGUAUUGGUUAUAAACUGUAAUGUGAUGUGUAAUUUCAAAUUGGUUCCUCAUAAUUAUAUUUAUUUUAUAUAUGCGAUAUCAAUUAAAAAUUAAAUAUUGUGCUUGCGGGUCGUGAGCUAGUAUACAUUGUCAAAAAAAACAUUCAAUUGUCUUUGAUGUUUUCGUUGUAUUGUUCAUUUUUGUCCUUUAUAUGAUUGGUAUUUUAUGAACGAGGACAGUGACAAGACCAGCCAUCGACAGAGACAUUUUUCUGGCAAUAAACUUUUUACCUGCUUCCUCCCCGACUAAACAUGGUCUUAAAUAAGCAGCCUCCAGAAGGAAUCGACAUUAUUUCUAACAUCAAGAAUCUAAGCAGCCUCAGACACUGUUAUGUUAAUAAAUUCCCAGCCUCAGACAUAUCAGUAAAAAAAUUUAAUAAUUAAUAGAUAAUGUUUUUGUUUUGGAUGAUGUGAUAGAUGGAGUAUUUAUAUUAAAAAAUAAUUAAAAAUAAGAGUAAUAAGCUAAUAAUAGUAUUCUUUUAUUUAAUAAUUAAAAAGAAUUACAAAUGACGUAAACAAAUCACAUAUAGGUACUUUACACUUGAUGAAAAUAGAAAGAAUUAAAGAACAACAAAUUUAUAGAAAAAGGAAAUCACAAAAAAAGUAGUAAAAGGAUGUUUAAUCAUUGGAAAAUACACAAACUAAUUACUUGUUGACAGCACUGCAGAUUCUCCUUAUUUCACCACGAGAUGGGUUGAUAAGAUUUCCCAUCUUGACCAUGGCAGUUGCGAAAUCUGAAUUGAAAGUUUCACGAUUUUUGCUAUACUCCAACACAAUGCUGUCCGUAGAACCUCCGCUGAAAAGAACUUGAUCAGAUUGAAGAAGACCUUUCUUUUGUAUCAAAUUCUUGAAGUAAUUGUUGUCGAAGGAAUUGGGUGUGACUAGAUCGAGUGCAGCUAAAUUUGCAUCGCCCCCGACAGCAGGACAACGGCGUCUGCGAGUGCUAGCGAAUCCACCUUCAAUUUUAGUGCCAUUGCUGUAUAUCCUUUCGCGAAAUGUAAAGCAUUGAGCUUGUCCUAGAGUAUGGGAACCUGCAUUCGGCGAAAUAAACAAUUUUAGCAUCAUGAACCAGAAAUAUAUAAGCUAUUAACUAGGUCUGCCAGGCUCUUAGAACAGUUCCAAGCUCCAACCUGACAAAGCAACCAUGUCCCGAGCACUUAGGCCUUUGCUUCGGAAGCGAGAUAUAAGUCUGUCGAGGCCAUCUCUAAAACUAGGAAGGUCCCUGUUGGCUAGGGUUCUACUUGCAGUCUUUGAAUCCCUUCUUCCAAGCCUCACAGUCCAGGAUGGACCACCGACCUGAUUUAUACAAAAACAAGUAUAUAUAUACAUGAUUGAUAUUGACAUUUUAAUUAGCUUGAUUCACUAGAUUCGAAUGUCGAAAUUGGCAUCUCAAAGAACA
RNAcentral lists this long non-coding RNA (9927 nucleotides) under Ricinus communis (castor bean). Its description in RNAcentral is "long non-coding RNA (RCOM_LNC001438)". Lineage: Eukaryota; Viridiplantae; Streptophyta; Magnoliopsida; Malpighiales; Euphorbiaceae. The record is from RNAcentral.